AGCGUGUCAACAUAAAAGGAUACUUUGCAUGGGCUCUUGGAGAUAAUUAUGAAUUCGGUAAAGGUUUUACCGUCCGAUUCGGACUCAGUUACGUUAACUGGACAGACGUUAGUGAUAGAAACCUCAAAGAUUCUGGCAAAUGGUAUCAGAGGUUCAUUAACGUUACCACCAAGAUCACUGCACACCAAGAUUUCCUCCGCUCAGGCCUCUCUUUUGAGAACAAGAUGAAGACACUCACAGAUGCAUGAAACACUUUAUCCACAUCAAGAUCGCCUUCAUGUCAUCUCACUCUUUCUAGCUAUCUGCUCCAUAGUAAAUAAAGGAGCUUAGUACUGUAACUAAAUAAAACAUAUUCCCAGUGGAAAAAGUCAAGUAUAUAUUAAUGAAUAAUACUUUUAUGCCAAGUCAAGGGAUUGAGAGAAAAAAAAAAACUCAAUUUAACAGGUAGAUUUACAUCAUCCAACCAACCACACUGCAUAUAUUAAUGAAGUAUCCUAUUGUGAUUUUAAAAAAAUGAAGUAUCCAUAAUAAAAUAUGAUUCUUAUUUAUGUCAACUACAAAUAUCAUUACACUAUAUCUAUUUUUGCAUAUCUAUUUUCGCAACGGAACUCUUAAAAUUUAAAUUGGUUAAUAUCUAUAUUAACCUUAAUGAAUAGUUCUAUACAAUUCAUUAUUAAUUAUAUAAUUAAACAAUAUAAUUUUAACAACUAUGAGACAUUAUCUCGACAACCUCAUACCAAUUAUAAUUUAGUUAUAUAAAAUUUAUACUGUAAAACUCGUGUAUUUGUUAUACUACAAAUUACUAUCUUCGUAGUUUUCAAAAUUAGUAUUUCAACUAAACAACAAUAAUACUUUGGAUAGCUUACUAUAAACGAAAAAGUGCAAUUACGAGCACACAUCACAUUAGGGUCCAACUUCAUUUACAUGUUAUUUGUUUGGUUUUAUAAAAGGUAAUUUUAGUGACGAAUACAUACUGAUUAAUUAAUGUGAAUACUAUUAGGGAUAAUUAUGCUAAUAUAUAUAAUGAAUAGUUAUAUAUAAUAUGUACUAUAAUUAGCAACAAACUUAUAUUUAAAUUUAUUUAGAUAAUUGAAUAUAAAUUAAUAAAAUAGAAAUUUUGGCUAAAAAUGAAUAAGAUAAGUGUUGUUAUCCAAAAAUAAUAUUUUCAAUUACAAAAUUUAAACUAAAAAGUAUAAUGAUGCAUAAUUAAAUACUAAUCAAACAAAAUGAAUAUAUUGUAUAAAUAGAUUUUCCAAAAUGUUUAUAAUACAUAAGUAGUUCCAAAAAAUGAAUGAAAGCAAUAACAAGCAUAUAUGUAUAUUUUGAUUUAAACUCUGAUUUAUAUAUUAUCGAUUUAAAUACUGUUAUUUGCGAAAUGAUUUUUCGUAACGGAGCACCCAAUUAGUUAAUAGUUAGAGUGGUUAAUAUCCAUAUUACCCUUAAUAAAUAGUUAUAUAUAAUUCAUUACUAAUUAUAUAACUAAACAAUAUAAUUUUAAUAACUAAAUGAGUCAUUUUCUCGACAAUCUCAUAUCUCAUACUAUUCAAUUAUAAUAUAAUUAUAUAAAAUUUGUAUUGUAAAACUCGUGUAUUUUUUAUACUAUAAAUUACAAGAAAUUCUUGGGUUCACCCCCUAAGGUGAACCUCUAGGUUCACCAACCAAUAGUGUUUGAGUAUUUGAUAUUUGAUAUCUUUUAAAAAAAGAAAUAAAAUUGAAUAUCCAAAUUAGAUUAUAUUUUUAAAAUAAAAUAAUAAAAAUACAUAAAAAUAGUUACAAAAAAUAAAUUAAUUAAUAUUGUUAACCAGUGGAAAAAGUCAAGUAUAUAUUAAUGAAUAAUACUUUUAUGCCAAGUCAAGGGAUUGAGAGAAAAAAAAAAACUCAAUUUAACAGGUAGAUUUACAUCAUCCAACCAACCACACUGCAUAUAUUAAUGAAGUAUCCUAUUGUGAUUUUAAAAAAAUGAAGUAUCCAUAAUAAAAUAUGAUUCUUAUUUAUGUCAACUACAAAUAUCAUUACACUAUAUCUAUUUUUGCAUAUCUAUUUUCGCAACGGAACUCUUAAAAUUUAAAUUGGUUAAUAUCUAUAUUAACCUUAAUGAAUAGUUCUAUACAAUUCAUUAUUAAUUAUAUAAUUAAACAAUAUAAUUUUAACAACUAUGAGACAUUAUCUCGACAACCUCAUACCAAUUAUAAUUUAGUUAUAUAAAAUUUAUACUGUAAAACUCGUGUAUUUGUUAUACUACAAAUUACUUCUACGUGUGGAUUAAUGACAUGCAAUUGUAUAUGUAAACUGCAGAAAGAUAUAGACAUUAUGGACGAAAUGAAUGCUACUGGCUACAGAUUCUCCUUUGCGUGGUCAAGAAUCAUUCCAAGUACGUACACAUUAUCGAUCUGUGUAUACAAGUAGUGGUAUAUUGAUUUUGAUUGUUUGAAAAAUUAAGUAUACGAUAUGUACAUAUGCAUGAGCAGAAGGAAAGGUGAGUAGGGGAGUGAACAAAGGAGGUCUUGAAUACUACCACAGACUCAUAGAUGGCCUCAUCGCGAAGAAUAUCACCCCUUUCGUUACCCUCUACCAUUGGGACCUUCCUCAAACACUGCAAGAUGAGUAUGACGGUUUCUUGAACCGCCAAGUCAUGUAUGUUAUUAGUUCAUAACAUGCAUCUUAGGAGUAAAAAUGGAAGAGAGAAAAUAUAUAGAUUAUAUCUCACAUUAAUGAAAGGAUUCUAAACUAUGCGCAGAGAGGAUUUUAGAGAUUUUGCGGAUCUAUGUUUCAAGGAAUUUGGUGGAAAGGUGAAGAACUGGCUCACUAUCAACCAGCUGUACUCAGUGCCUACGAGAGGCUAUUCAACCGGAGCAGAUGCACCCGGUCGAUGUUCUCCAAAGGUCGAUGCAAGAUGUUACGGCGGAAAUUCUUCAACGGAACCUUAUAUAGUUGCACAUAACCAGCUUCUUGCUCAUGCCGCUGUGGUCAAUCUUUAUAGAACAAAAUAUAGGGCGAGUACUUGUCCAUUUGUAAAUAUGUGUAAUAAUCUGACAUAUCCAAUCCAUAUUUAACAAAUCAUUGUGACCAGCAGUUCCAAAGAGGGAGGAUCGGACCGGUGAUGAUAACUAGAUGGUUUCUUCCAUUUGAUGAGACUAAUAAAGCCAGCAUAGAUGCAGCUGAGAGGAUGAAAGAAUUCUUCUUAGGAUGGUACGAAUAUAUAUAUAUAUAUCCACGAAAAAAACAAAUCAAUAUUUUAAAAUUAUAAAUAUAUGUUGUAUAUAUAAACUACUUAAUGAAUAUAAAUUUGAUAUCGAUCAGGUAUAUGGAGCCGCUAACAAGAGGUAGAUACCCAGACAUCAUGAGGCGAAUGGUAGGUAAUCGGCUUCCCAACUUCACUGAAGCAGAAGCCAGACUUGUUGCGGGUUCAUAUGAUUUUCUUGGUCUCAACUAUUACGCCACUCAGUUCGUACAGCCAACUCCUAACCCACUCCCCGUUACAUCGGAAAGAUACACUGCCAUGAUGGACCCAGGGACAAGACUCACAUGUACCACUCUAUUUCACUUAGUUACAACAUAUAUAUAUAUAUAUGCAUGUGUCCUUUUGAUUACUACAUAUUUUGUGACCGUCAAUAUUGCAUGCUUGUGUGUUGCAGUUGUAAAUUCACGUGGUGAAAAAACUGGUCCACUGGUAUAUAUGCACGAUCUACCCACCCAUAAUUCUAUUGUUUCAUUCAUUUUUCUCUUCUUUCUUAUGAUUGAUAUACACAUGCUGCUUCCCUUUCUGAUCAGUUUGAAGAGUUAAAAGGGGGAAAUAGUUAUUACUACCCAAAAGGCAUUUAUUACGUUAUGGACUACUUCAAAACCAAAUACCGUAACCCAUUAAUCUAUAUCACCGAGAACGGUGAGUUCUGUUACCCGUCUUCUUUCAUGUUUAAUUGUUUGGUAGAAGAAAUUGACUCAGCUAUUGUAAAAUUGUUCACAUACUACGCACCACGGUUCAAUUAGGAUUCAGUACCUCUGGUGAUCAAACCCGCCAGGAAGCUGUUGCCGAUUCCAAGCGGAUUGAUUAUCUCUGCAGUCAUCUCUGUUUUCUCCGUAAGGUCAUCAUGUGAGUAGUGGCUGCAACGACACAUUAUUUAAUAAAUAUUAGAUCAUCAUAGGUUUUUAAUGGUUAUUUUUGUUUUCAGGGAGAAGCGUGUCAACAUAAAAGGAUACUUUGCAUGGGCUCUUGGAGAUAAUUAUGAAUUCGGUAAAGGUUUUACCGUCCGAUUCGGACUCAGUUACGUUAACUGGACAGACGUUAGUGAUAGAAACCUCAAAGAUUCUGGCAAAUGGUAUCAGAGGUUCAUUAACGUUACCACCAAGAUCACUGCACACCAAGAUUUCCUCCGCUCAGGCCUCUCUUUUGAGAACAAGAUGAAGACACUCACAGAUGCAUGAAACACUUUAUCCACAUCAAGAUCGCCUUCAUGUCAUCUCACUCUUUCUAGCUAUCUGCUCCAUAGU
This 4488-nucleotide long non-coding RNA is filed under the name Brassica napus (rape). RNAcentral describes it as "long non-coding RNA (BNAP_LNC021671)". The record is from RNAcentral. Lineage: Eukaryota; Viridiplantae; Streptophyta; Magnoliopsida; Brassicales; Brassicaceae.